This 251-nucleotide ribosomal RNA is filed under the name uncultured bacterium. Its description in RNAcentral is "partial 16S ribosomal RNA". It matches the Rfam family "Bacterial small subunit ribosomal RNA", at positions 524 to 776 of the family's 1533-position model. The record is from RNAcentral.
UACGGGGGGGGCAAGCGUUGUUCGGAAUUACUGGGCGUAAAGAGCUCGUAGGUGGUUUGUCGCGUUGUCCGUGAAAACUCACAACUCAAUUGUGGGCGUGCGGGCGAUACGGGCAGACUGGAGUACUGCAGGGUAGUGGAAUUCCCGGUGUAGCGGUGAAAUGCGUAGAGAUCGGGAGGAACACCAGUGGCGAAGGCGGCUACCUGGACCAGCACUGACACUGAGGCACGAAAGCGUGGGGAGCAAACAGG